RNAcentral lists this ribosomal RNA (497 nucleotides) under uncultured bacterium. RNAcentral describes it as "partial 16S ribosomal RNA". It matches the Rfam family "Bacterial small subunit ribosomal RNA", at positions 28 to 507 of the family's 1533-position model. The record is from RNAcentral.
GAUGAACGCUGGCGGCGUGCUUAACACAUGCAAGUCGAGCGAAUAGACGAGGAGCUUGCUCCGCUGUCGUUAGCGGCGGACGGGCGAGUGACUUGUGAAUAACCCACAUAUAAUACUGCGAUAUCUGCGAAAAACCGGAGCUAAUAGCGUAUAAUAUAUUGAACCGCAUUGGUCUAUAGUGAAUGACGGUUUUGCUGUAACUAAUAGAUGGAUCCGCGCCGCAUUAGCUAGUUGGUAAGGUAACGGGUUACGAAGGCAAAGAUGCGUAGCCGACCUGAGAGGGUGAUAGGCCACACUGGAACUGAGACACGGACCAGAGUCCUAGGGGAAGCAGCAGUAGGGACACUUCAGCAAUGGGCGAAAGAUUGACGGAGCAACGCCGCGUGAGUGAUGGAGGCGUUCUGAGUGUAAAACUCUGUUUUUAGGAAGGAACAGAUGUCUAAGUUACUAUGCACGUCUUGACGGUACCUAAUCAGGAAGCCACGGCUAACUACGUG